AGAGUUUGAUCAUGGCUCAGAUUGAACGCUGGCGGCAGGCCUAACACAUGCAAGUCGAGCGGUAGCACAGAGAGCUUGCUCUCGGGUGACGAGCGGCGGACGGGUGAGUAAUGUCUGGGAAACUGCCUGAUGGAGGGGGAUAACUACUGGAAACGGUAGCUAAUACCGCAUAACGUCGCAAGACCAAAGUGGGGGACCUUCGGGCCUCAUGCCAUCAGAUGUGCCCAGAUGGGAUUAGCUAGUAGGUGGGGUAAUGGCUCACCUAGGCGACGAUCCCUAGCUGGUCUGAGAGGAUGACCAGCCACACUGGAACUGAGACACGGUCCAGACUCCUACGGGAGGCAGCAGUGGGGAAUAUUGCACAAUGGGCGCAAGCCUGAUGCAGCCAUGCCGCGUGUGUGAAGAAGGCCUUCGGGUUGUAAAGCACUUUCAGCGGGGAGGAAGGCGUUAAGGUUAAUAACCUUGGCGAUUGACGUUACCCGCAGAAGAAGCACCGGCUAACUCCGUGCCAGCAGCCGCGGUAAUACGGAGGGUGCAAGCGUUAAUCGGAAUUACUGGGCGUAAAGCGCACGCAGGCGGUCUGUCAAGUCGGAUGUGAAAUCCCCGGGCUCAACCUGGGAACUGCAUUCGAAACUGGCAGGCUAGAGUCUUGUAGAGGGGGGUAGAAUUCCAGGUGUAGCGGUGAAAUGCGUAGAGAUCUGGAGGAAUACCGGUGGCGAAGGCGGCCCCCUGGACAAAGACUGACGCUCAGGUGCGAAAGCGUGGGGAGCAAACAGGAUUAGAUACCCUGGUAGUCCACGCCGUAAACGAUGUCGAUUUGGAGGUUGUGCCCUUGAGGCGUGGCUUCCGGAGCUAACGCGUUAAAUCGACCGCCUGGGGAGUACGGCCGCAAGGUUAAAACUCAAAUGAAUUGACGGGGGCCCGCACAAGCGGUGGAGCAUGUGGUUUAAUUCGAUGCAACGCGAAGAACCUUACCUGGUCUUGACAUCCACAGAACUUUCCAGAGAUGGAUUGGUGCCUUCGGGAACUGUGAGACAGGUGCUGCAUGGCUGUCGUCAGCUCGUGUUGUGAAAUGUUGGGUUAAGUCCCGCAACGAGCGCAACCCUUAUCCUUUGUUGCCAGCGGUCCGGCCGGGAACUCAAAGGAGACUGCCAGUGAUAAACUGGAGGAAGGUGGGGAUGACGUCAAGUCAUCAUGGCCCUUACGACCAGGGCUACACACGUGCUACAAUGGCAUAUACAAAGAGAAGCGACCUCGCGAGAGCAAGCGGACCUCAUAAAGUAUGUCGUAGUCCGGAUUGGAGUCUGCAACUCGACUCCAUGAAGUCGGAAUCGCUAGUAAUCGUAGAUCAGAAUGCUACGGUGAAUACGUUCCCGGGCCUUGUACACACCGCCCGUCACACCAUGGGAGUGGGUUGCAAAAGAAGUAGGUAGCUUAACCUUCGGGAGGGCGCUUACCACUUUGUGAUUCAUGACUGGGGUGAAGUCGUAACAAGGUAACCGUAGGGGAACCUGCGGUUGGAUCACCU
Molecule: ribosomal RNA, 1528 nt
Filed under: Klebsiella pneumoniae
Lineage: Bacteria; Pseudomonadati; Pseudomonadota; Gammaproteobacteria; Enterobacterales; Enterobacteriaceae
Also listed under: 2 other names
Description: bacterial SSU rRNA
Rfam family: Bacterial small subunit ribosomal RNA
Source: RNAcentral